This 186-nucleotide ribosomal RNA is filed under the name uncultured bacterium. RNAcentral describes it as "partial 16S ribosomal RNA". It matches the Rfam family "Bacterial small subunit ribosomal RNA", at positions 1316 to 1500 of the family's 1533-position model. The record is from RNAcentral.
CUGCACGAAGUUGGAAUUGCUAGUAAUCGCGGAUCAGCAUGCCGCGGUGAAUACGUUCCCGGGUCUUGUACACACCGCCCGUCACACCAUGGGAGCCGGUAAUACCCGAAGUCAGUAGUUUAACCCUUGUGGAGGACGCUGCCGAAGGUAGGAUUGGCGACUGGGGUGAAGUCGUAACAAGGUACC